AUGAAAAUUGGAAAGGGAAUAGGGUUUUUAGAAAGAAAGUCUCUUCUCUUCUUCUCCGCAGAACAAAUACGAAUGGCGCCGACAGACACAGCCUCCUCCGCUUCUUCAGACAACUCAGCAACGCGGUCAUCAUCAUCCUCGCUGAUCUCCGUCUCUCCCUCCCCCCUGUUCAUCUCUGUCGCGGAACGGUUCCGAUUCCCCUUUCGCCGCGCCGGUAAUCGCCUCUGA
Vicia faba (fava bean) is the source of this 228-nucleotide non-coding RNA. NCBI's taxonomy places the organism in Eukaryota, Viridiplantae, Streptophyta, Magnoliopsida, Fabales, Fabaceae. The record is from the annotation of a GenBank genome assembly.